GGCGAUUAGCUCAGUUGGGAGAGCACCUGCCUUACAAGCAGGGGGUCACUGGUUCGAGCCCGGUAUCGCCCAC
RNAcentral lists this transfer RNA (73 nucleotides) under Vibrio parahaemolyticus. Its description in RNAcentral is "tRNA-Val". It matches the Rfam family "tRNA". Rfam says of the family: Transfer RNA (tRNA) molecules are approximately 80 nucleotides in length. Their secondary structure includes four short double-helical elements and three loops (D, anti-codon, and T loops). The record is from RNAcentral. Lineage: Bacteria; Pseudomonadati; Pseudomonadota; Gammaproteobacteria; Vibrionales; Vibrionaceae.